GGGAGGUAGUGACAAUAAAUCACAAUGCGGAACAAUGUUUUGCAAUUGGAUUGAGAACAACGUACAAACCUUAUCGAUAAACAAUUGGAGGGCAAGUCUGGUGCCAGCAGCCGCGGUAAUUCCAGCUCCAAUAGCGUAUAUUAACGUUGUUGCAGUUAAAAAGCUCGUAGUUGAAAUGAAGGGUAGUUGUGUAAUGAAUACAUUCGUGUAUUUUGUUAUUCUACUACCCUCCUUCUAAAUUCGAUAUAUGAGUAUUAAUUUACUUGUAUAUGGUUUUAGACCUUUACUGUGAGAAAAUUAGAGUGUUCAAAGCAGGCAUUUGCUUGAAUAUAUUAGCAUGGAAUAAUCAUGUAUGAUUUUCAUGAUGUAUUUGAUUGGUUUGGUUCAUGAGAAUAAGAUUAAAAGGGACAGUUGGGGGUAUUCAUAUUCAAUAGUCAGAGGUGAAAUUCUCGGAUUUAUGGAAGAUGAACAAGUGCGAAAGCAUUUACCAAGGAUGUUUUCAUUAAUCAAGAACGAAAGU
RNAcentral lists this ribosomal RNA (520 nucleotides) under uncultured Blastocystis sp. RNAcentral describes it as "bacterial SSU rRNA". It matches the Rfam family "Eukaryotic small subunit ribosomal RNA", at positions 459 to 990 of the family's 1831-position model. The record is from RNAcentral. Lineage: Eukaryota; Bigyra; Opalinata; Blastocystidae.